Molecule: long non-coding RNA, 5753 nt
Filed under: Homo sapiens (human)
Lineage: Eukaryota; Metazoa; Chordata; Mammalia; Primates; Hominidae
Description: non-protein coding lnc-VCAN-1:20
Source: RNAcentral
AGACCCACCGGCAGACAGGCGGACCGGGCGCUCGGCUGUCGCUGUUCUCCGCGCGGCGGCUGCGGGGCUUCUGACUUGGAGAACAAUGAAGCGUGAGCUGGAGGGGAGCGAGCGGGCCGCCGGGAGCGCACUGUGUACAAACAGAGGCGGCGUGCGUCUCCUUCUGCUAUAAGAGAAAAGGGAGACAACUGCAGCCACACCCUAGCACCUAGCACCUGCCACCACCUCUGAAGUUCCUGCAUUGCCUGUACCUUCUCCGCACAUGCUGGAGACUGUGGGGUUAAGAGCUGCACCCUUGCUGCCUGAGAGUCCCUUGGAUUCCAGCACUGACUUUAUAAUUAACCACGUUAAGGAUUCCCCUGAACUUCCUUUCUCAGUAUAACCAGGAACAGAAGUUAAGAGAUUUUGAAAAGUGACUCUUGGGGCACAAAACUGCAUGAGAGACAGAACCCUGCAAAGUGAAUUGCCCCGUAUUUCUCAGGAACUGCAACGUAGUCAGCAACCAGACCCUAAUCAGCUAAGACAGGGCUGCUCUGCUGCUCUGUCUACAAUUUAGUUAGCUCCAGGGCUGGGGAGAGAGGGUUGUGGGCUCAUCUGUUCACGGGGGCAAAAGGGUGGAAGUGAGUAGGAGACAUGCAUCUCGUUAAGCAGGACAUCUGUUUCAGAGAAGAAGUGGGGCAAGUUUGGGAACUGUGCAAGAACAUAAAGGCAAAGACAGACCCUUGAAGCAUCACUAAGGUGGAUCAAAUUUUCUUUCUAUCCGCCAAAAUAAAUGGACUGGUUUUUGCAGUGGAAGUGAUUGAACCAAAAAUACAGCUCAUGGCUUACAAUUGUGCUUUCUUCUCUGUUUUUCGGUUAGAAUGAUUGCUUAUUGUACAUGGAUCCAAUUCCAGCAGUUACAGGUACCAAAAUGAAACAGGGCUUCUUUUUUCUUUUUUUUCUUUUUUUUUUCUUUUCCUUUUUUCUUUUCUUUUUUUUUUUUUUUUGUCUUCUAGAGAGGGAGGUAGGGAGAGAGACAAACACAGAGCUAGAGAAAUUGAAAGAGAAACAUUCUCGAAGGCAAAGAGUUGAAAGGUGAAUCUACUAAGAAAAGAAUAACAGAGUGCAAUUAGCCAUGGAACUACAUCUCCAUCUGCCUCCUUUAAAGGAUGAGUCCUUUAAAGAGCCUUUGGAAGGAAUUGGGCCAUGAGAAGAGCCCUCAUGAAUGGGAUUAGUUCCCUUAUAAGAAGAGACACCAAGGAAGUGAUCUUUCUCUGCCCUCUGCUAUGUGAAGACAAGGUAAGAAGACAGCUAUGAACCAAGAAGCAGGCCCUUACCAGACACCAAAUCUGCUGGUGCAUUGAUCUUGGACUUCUCAGCCUCCAGGACUGUGAGAAAUAAAUGUUUAUUGUUGAAGCCACCCAGUCUACAGUAAUUUGUUAUAGCAGCUGAAAUUGACUAAGACAAUUUAAAAAAAUUAAUCUCAUUGACUAUCAAUUUGGAUUCUGGAGCAUACCUGGAUUCAGGUAUACAUUGGAUUUGGGCAUAUCUGAACUGGAAUAUGGUCUCUAUCAUUCUAACUCCUUUAACUAAGUUAAAGUCUGUUAAGUGCCAAACCUCAGUAUUCUCAUCUGUAAAAUGAAGGUAGUGAUAGUAUCAAACUGAUAGUGGUAGGUUGUGGUGGUGCACAAAAGGGCCUAGUCCAGCACUGGACACAUGGUGAUGAUGAUGAAAGAUAAUGAUACUGAUAAAUAAGAAGACAAUACUAAUAUACAUAAUUCCAAAAGAAUUUUUCUUAAUACGUGAUCCUCUUCACUCCCCGUCUCCCAUCCCCAUUAAAUUACCUGGAAUUUUUUAGUCCAUCUUUCAGUUUGUCAAGCAACGAAUAACACUAAAGGUAGUCUUUUUUAUUAUCGUGUAAUUAUGGAAUUUUUUAUUAUUUUGCAUUUUAAAACUUUGUUUUGAAUUUCCAAAACUUUUUAUUUAAUAUCUAAAAUGUCUUUCUACUAAAAUUUUGCUCUCACCGUCUGAGACUCAAAGCAGAAAACCCAGCCAAGACCAUCUCAAAUUCUGACCUACAGAACUGGGAGUUAAUAAUUGGUGUUGUUUUAAACUGCUGAGUCUGUGGUAGUUUGCUAUGAAGACUAAUAUAGUUGGUUACUAUUGUUAUUCUAAUUUCAGGGAGAAGGAAUAAGUCAUGGAGCGGUUAGGUUAAUUGUCCAUCCUCUCAAGUUAGUAAGUGUUGGAGCCGAUAAGUGAAUCUAAACAGCGUGAAUCUAAAGCCCACUGCAUACUUCUGCCAACAAUUAUGAAGGGUCGACUGUAUGCUAAGCUCUAAUGCAUUUUUACAUAUAUUGCUUUACUAAAUAGGUUACCUCAACAACCUUUAUGAGGUAAAUAUUAUUAUUAUUUGCAUUUGACUACUGAGGAAACCAAGAAUCAAAACCUUUAAGUACAUUGCCCAGGAUCAAGGUGGCGGUGAGGAAUGGAGCCAAGAGCUAGUAUCAGAGCCCUGCUCUGGUUCCAGUAGUGAUUUUCACAGCCAUUGUGUUAAAAUGCCUAUUUAGACAGUGGUCUAACUUACUUUAUUUAUUGACAUUUUCAAUUUCAAUGGUUAUAAUUAUAAUUGUCAUUUUUUAGUACAGUUUGCAUUUCUCCCUGAUCUUCUUGAUGCAUCAUUUUAGAAUAUACAUUGCUGAAAUGUAGAAUUUCAAGCACAUUUUAAAUUCUCUACAAUAUUUGCAUAACUCAUAACACUUUUCUUCAUUGCUCCCACAAGCACCAAGAUAAUUCUUUCCUCCAACCCUCUGCUCAUGCUGUUAUCCCCACCUGAAAUGCCCUCUUACAAAUCCUACUAGCUGAAUUACAGUUUCCAUUUAAGACCUCCCCGAAUUAUUCUAGCACCAGAGAACCAUCAUUUCUUAGAAUUAACAGUGCUUUUAAUUUUUUUUCUAGUUGUUUCACUUGUGUUAAUCUUAUCUUUCCAAAGAAUUAUAUGGUUCUUACCAUUUAGAUAACUGCAUGUCUUAGACAUAGCUGAGUGUUAUGUUUUAAAUUUCUUCAGUCUUUCCACUGUGAACACUAAGGAAAAUUAAUUUUUAAGACUACAGAUUUGAUACCAAAUCCCUACUUCCUAAUAUUUCACUGCCUGAUUCCCUAAUGGAUGCUCUUUCCAGAAAAUGUGUAGGGUCAUUAAGCAAGAGUGUACCUUUGCUUUCAGAAUUUGACCCUGGUAGGAGAAAUUUCUGGUGCUUCUAAUUCUUUCCCUCCAGUUUCCCAGUCAAACUCAUUUCAGUGACUUGGUUUUUAGCUUCCUGAAAUAUGUUUGAAUAAUUAAUAUAUACACACAAUAAAAGUUCAAAGGUACAAAAGAGUGUGCAGGAAAAUAAAAGUUUUCCUCCUAAUGACAUUCCCUUCUUACACAAGGUUAUUCCCUCAGGGCCUACUGCUGAUAUCUAGUAGCUAUGCUUGUGUAUCCUUCUAAAGAUACACAAACACACCCCCCUAUAUAUGUGUGUUUAUAUGUACUUGUGCAUACAUGUGUGUAUAUAUAGUGUGUAUAUGUGUACACACAUACUUUUUACAAAAGUUACUAAAUUAUACAAUCAUGGAUCUUGCUUUUCUUCACAAACGUUCUGUGUUUUGAAAUUGUAUCAAGGACUGCAUAGUAUCUGUAUAUGUAAAUCCUUUUUGAUAGACAUUUAAGUUGCUUCCAAUCUUUUGCUAUUGCAAGCAAUAUUACAUGAAUACACAUUUUGCACAUGUGUGCAAGAUAAACAUAUUAGAAUAGAUUUGUUGAAGUAACAUUGUUGGUGGGGGGAAUGUUCAUAUAAAAUUGUGAUAGAUAUUACCAAUUUGCCAUUCAUAAGGUAUCUAUGAGUUCACCCUUCCACCUGUACUGUAUCAGACAGCUUGUCUCUCUUUAGUGUGGCUGAUAUGAUUCUUAACAGUCUUUGAAAGACAAAAAAAGGUAUCUCAUGGUUUUGAACACCUAUUAUUUUUACUGGGUUUGAGCAACUUUUCGCAUAUUUAAAAAUAAUUAUUUUCUUUAUGUGAACUGGCAUUUCAUGUAUUUUGCUUUUAUUUCUACUGAUUUGCUAACCUUUUUAUUGAUUGGUAGGAGAUCUGUAUAAGGAAAUUCAUCCAUUUGGGGUCACAUUAAUGUCAAAAAAUUUAUCCAGCUGGUUCUUGUCCUUUAACCUAGUUUACACCUAUUUGUUUGAUUUUAUUGUGCUAAAAUUGCUAAAAUAUUUUAUAUUUGGGUGAUGAAAUUUAUCCACCUUUGCUUUAAGAUUUCUAGGUUUUGAUAUUUGCUAAGAUAGGCUUUCAGUAUUCUGAAUUUAUAAACAUAUCUUACAGUGUCUUAUAGUAGUUUUAUGAAUAUUUCAUGUGUGUUUUUACAAUUCUUACCAAAUUAAAAUUUGAGAGAUAGUAUUUGUUACUAUCUUACUUGUUCUCUCAAAAACUACCAGUAAUAACAAAACCAUAUAUUGAAUAAAUCCAUAUAUUUCAAAUUAAUAUGACAUGCCAACUCACUCACUUAGUCACUAUAUAUUUGGCUCUACUGCUUGCUUUUAUAGACUGUUCCAUUGGGUUAUCUAUUCGUGUGCCAGUACUACAUGCCUAAUUGUUGUUUUAAUUUUUUUUUAAUAACUACUAGGGUAAACAUCAUCUACUUCUUUUUUAAAAAAUACUCCCUGACUAAUGUACAUUUAUUUUUUUUCCUACAUGAACUUUAGAGUGAGCUUGUCUAGUUGAAAAAAACAUAAUAAAUAUAUUUAUAGUAUUAGUAUACCUAUGUAUAUAUCCAAUUUUCUUCUGUGUUUCUCUUGUUAAGUUUCUAUUUAGAUAUUUUAUAUUUUUAUAUGCCUACCUAAAUGCAAAUUUCUUCAUUAUAUUUUGUAACUGGCUCUUCUACAUUUAUAGGAAGGCUAUCUUUGUGUGUGUGUGUGUGUGUGUGUGUGUGUGUAUGUGUGUCUAUAUAUGUGCACUAAUGUUAAACCCAGUUACUUUAUAAAUUGUAAAUUGUCUUUUAUAAUUUACAUUAUUAGCUUUUUCGUUUAUUAUUUUGGGUUUUCUAGACAUAAAAUCAUCACAUCUGAAAAGAACUUUAGUUUUACCUCCUUACCUCCUCUUCGAAUUUUCAUGCUUAUUUUUUCCAUCAAAUUGUUAUAACUGGUAUUAUGUAAUAGAUUUUAAAUAAAUGGACACACUUGGACUAUUUUUCACUCUAAUGGGACCACUCUAAUGACCUCCAAGGCACAGCACAAGGACUCUUGUCUCCCAUUUCCAGUGCAUGCACUACAGCCAUUUUCUCUAUACCAGCAUUUGCUCAGAAAAAAAAAAAAAGAGUAAGACAUUAACAUCAGUGUAGGAAGGAAAUAAGUGUCCAUGAAUAUGCAGGAUAGGAUAAAGGAGGGAAAUUAUCUUUUCUCUACAGUAAAUAAAAAGAGGCUUAUCAAGAAUUGGUAGAAUUGGAUGUCUUAAGCUUUGACGUUGCAUUUGACAGAAAAUUGGAACUCAUUGUCUUUUGAUUUAAAAGAAAGGGAUGAUAAAAUCUUCCACACCCACCAUAGCAGGAGUUAUGUGGUUAUCUAGGGAAAAACGUAUUAUAAUAGGCCAAAGGACCGUCUUAGACUAUUUCCCCUUUUAUCUAGUUUUCAUUGCCAUAUUCUUCUCUUUUCCUCCGUUUAUCACAUUGCUGAAAAUUGAGUCAGAGAUUUAUUUAUUUAAGAUAUAAAAGAUACCUGAUACAUCAAGCAUAGUAAUUGGAC